GUGGGGAAUCUUCCGCAAUGGACGAAAGUCUGACGGAGCAACGCCGCGUGAGUGAUGAAGGUCUUCGGAUUGUAAAGCUCUGUUAAUCGGGACGAAAGAGCCUAGGGUGAAUAAUGCUAGGAAGUGACGGUACCGGAAUAGAAAGCCACGGCUAACUACGUGCCAGCAGCCGCGGUAAUACGUAGGUGGCAAGCGUUGUCCGGAAUUAUUGGGCGUAAAGCGCGCGCAGGCGGAGCUGCCAGUAUGUCUUAAAAGUUCGGGGCUUAACCCCGGGAUGGGAUGGAAACUACAGAUCUAGAGUAUCGGAGAGGAAAGUAGAAAUCCUAGUGUAGCGGUGAAAUGCGUAGAUAUUAGGAAGAACACCAGUGGCGAAGGCGACUUUCUGGACGAAAACUGACGCUGAGGCGCGAAAGCCAGGGGAGCGAACGGGAUUAGAAACCCUAGUAGUCC
RNAcentral lists this ribosomal RNA (450 nucleotides) under uncultured bacterium. RNAcentral's name for it is "partial 16S ribosomal RNA". It matches the Rfam family "Bacterial small subunit ribosomal RNA", at positions 354 to 796 of the family's 1533-position model. The record is from RNAcentral.